GUAACUGAGUCCUGGAUUCUGUUGCUGAGACUGAAUAGAACAGGCUACAUGGUGUUCACAAAUUUAAACUGAGGACCAGAGAACAGAGGAAGCUUAGCACCAGUCCCUUCUUUUCAGAUUGGAAAGAAAGUUAGAAAAAAAAAAGGGAGUAUAGUGGAAAACAGAGUUGGAUGGAUAGAGGAUUCUGUAAUUCUCCAGUCUUUGGACCAAAUUUUCAAAUGGGAACAGCCUUUGUACCAGAGAUAACCAGCUUGAGUGCCUUCAGGGAUCUUCACUGUCAGAAGUGUUCCAGAUAAAGACUAUUUUACUUGCAGACAGUGUUCCAG
This 326-nucleotide long non-coding RNA is filed under the name Taeniopygia guttata (zebra finch). RNAcentral's name for it is "lncRNA (ENSTGUG00000029332.1)". Lineage: Eukaryota; Metazoa; Chordata; Aves; Passeriformes; Estrildidae. The record is from RNAcentral.